Molecule: ribosomal RNA, 430 nt
Filed under: uncultured bacterium
Lineage: Bacteria
Description: bacterial SSU rRNA
Rfam family: Bacterial small subunit ribosomal RNA
Source: RNAcentral
GUGGGGAAUAUUGCACAAUGGGCGAAAGCCUGAUGCAGCGACGCCGCGUGGGGGAUGAAGGCCUUCGGGUUGUAAACCCCUUUCAGCAGGGAAGAAGCGAAAGUGACGGUACCUGCAGAAGAAGCGCCGGCUAACUACGUGCCAGCAGCCGCGGUAAUACGUAGGGCGCAAGCGUUGUCCGGAAUUAUUGGGCGUAAAGAGCUCGUAGGCGGUUUGUCGCGUCUGGUGUGAAAACUCAAGGCUCAACCUUGAGCUUGCAUCGGGUACGGGCAGACUAGAGUGCGGUAGGGGUGACUGGAAUUCCUGGUGUAGCGGUGGAAUGCGCAGAUAUCAGGAGGAACACCGAUGGCGAAGGCAGGUCACUGGGCCGCAACUGACGCUGAGGAGCGAAAGCAUGGGGAGCGAACAGGAUUAGAAACCCUUGUAGUCC